GAUGAACGCUGGCGGCGUGCCUAACACAUGCAAGUCGAACGGAGAUUACGGACGGAAGCUUUCGGAUGGAAGACUGUAAUUCUUAGUGGCGGACGGGGGUGUAACGCGUGUGCGACCUGCACUAUACAGGGGGAUAGCAGCUGGAAACGGCUGGUAAGACCACAUAAAUGGGUCAGACCGCAUGGUUUUGCCGGCAGAUGAGCAAUCAGGUAUAGGAUGGGCCCUCGUCCGAUUAGCCAGUUGGCAGGGUAAAAGCCUACCAAAGCAACGAUCGGUAGCCGGACUGAGAGGUCGGACGGCCACAUUGGGACUGAGACACGGCCCAAACUCCUACGGGAGGCAGCAGUGGGGGAUAUUGCACAAUGGAGGAAACUCUGAUGCAGCGACGCCGCGUGAGUGAAGAAGUAUUUCGGUAUGUAAAGCUCUAUCAGCAGGGAAGAUGAUGACGGUACCUGACUAAGAAGCCCCGGCUAACUACGUG
Molecule: ribosomal RNA, 481 nt
Filed under: uncultured bacterium
Lineage: Bacteria
Description: partial 16S ribosomal RNA
Rfam family: Bacterial small subunit ribosomal RNA
Source: RNAcentral